This 73-nucleotide transfer RNA is filed under the name Sanguibacter sp. HDW7. It matches the Rfam family "tRNA". From Rfam's summary of the family: Transfer RNA (tRNA) molecules are approximately 80 nucleotides in length. Their secondary structure includes four short double-helical elements and three loops (D, anti-codon, and T loops). The record is from Rfam by way of RNAcentral. Lineage: Bacteria; Bacillati; Actinomycetota; Actinomycetes; Micrococcales; Sanguibacteraceae.
CGCCGAGUAGAGCAACGGCAGCUCGCAGGGCUCAUACCCCUUGAGGUAGCGGGUUCGACUCCCGCCUCGGCAA